Molecule: non-coding RNA, 46 nt
Filed under: Schistosoma haematobium
Lineage: Eukaryota; Metazoa; Platyhelminthes; Trematoda; Strigeidida; Schistosomatidae
Source: RNAcentral
GCACUACUGAGGAGUCCCAUACCAGGACGAAACGGCCGUCCAGUAC